AACGAACGCUGGCGGCAUGCCUAACACAUGCAAGUCGAGCGCGCCUUCGGGGGAUCGGCGGACUGGUGGGUAACGCGUGGGGAUAUGCCCUUCUCUACGGCAUAGCCCUGGGAAACUGGUGGCAAUACCGUAUACGCCCUUUUGCGGGAUGGUUUAUCGGGCUAGGAUUAGGGCGCGUUGGAUUAGGUAGUGGGUGGGGUAAUGGCCUAGCAAGCCGACGAUCCAUAGCUGUGUUGAGAGGCUGAGCCGCCACAAUGGGACUGAGACACGGCCCAGACUCCGACGGAAGGGAGGAGAGGAGUAUAUAAGACAAUGGGGGCAAACCCGACAACGCCGUGUGGGGGAAGAGAUGCAGGCGUUAGGAUUGCAAAGCUGUCUCAGCUGGGAAGAGAAUGACGGUACCAGGAGAAGAAGCACCGGCUAACUACGUG
Molecule: ribosomal RNA, 431 nt
Filed under: uncultured bacterium
Lineage: Bacteria
Description: partial 16S ribosomal RNA
Rfam family: Bacterial small subunit ribosomal RNA
Source: RNAcentral